Small nuclear RNA from Syngnathoides biaculeatus (alligator pipefish), 104 nucleotides. The record is from RefSeq and is a predicted model, not a curated record. NCBI's taxonomy places the organism in Eukaryota, Metazoa, Chordata, Actinopteri, Syngnathiformes, Syngnathidae.
UUCGGCAUCGUAUAUAGUGUACCAAAAUUGAAACGAUACAGAGAAAAUUAGCAUGGCCCCUGCGUAAGAAUGACACACAAAUUCAUGUACCGUUCCUCAUUUUA